Molecule: ribosomal RNA, 253 nt
Filed under: uncultured bacterium
Lineage: Bacteria
Description: partial 16S ribosomal RNA
Rfam family: Bacterial small subunit ribosomal RNA
Source: RNAcentral
UACGUACCGGACGAACGUUAUUCGGAAUUACUGGGCUUAAAGAGUGCGUGGGCGGCCUUGCAGGUGGGGUGUGAAAGCCCACGGCUCAACCGUGGAAUUGCGCUCCAAACCGCAAGGCUUGAGGGAGACAGAGGUGAGCGGAACUGAUGGUGGAGCGGUGAAAUGCGUUGAUAUCAUCAGGAACACCCGUGGCGAAGGCGGCUCACUGGGUCUCUUCUGACGCUGAGGCACGAAAGCUAGGGGAGCGUAUGGG